This 847-nucleotide long non-coding RNA is filed under the name Capsicum annuum. RNAcentral describes it as "long non-coding RNA (CANN_LNC017716)". The record is from RNAcentral. Lineage: Eukaryota; Viridiplantae; Streptophyta; Magnoliopsida; Solanales; Solanaceae.
UUUACUUAAUUACAUAAAAUUUGAGAAAUCGUCUUUUGUCAUAUAUAACUUUAGCCUUGACACAUAUUGGUUACGAUACAUUUGAAACUAAUCAGUUAGUUAAAGAAUGAAAUAAUAGAAUUGCAUUUAUUUAGGGUCAUCUGAAAACUAUUUGGGCUCCUUCAUUCCACCUUCUCCCCGAAUUAACACCAUUAACAAUAAGCAACACCCCCUCAAUUCUAAUUUUCAACACCUUACUACUGCCACCAUCCUCCAAUUUCCAUUUUUUAUCAACAUUCAAAAUAGAAAAUUUUCAUGACUGAUUUUGUGAUUCAAAAUUUUGGUUCAAUUUCUUCCAUCUAUUUUAAUAUUUUCUUCUUUUUUUUUUUUUAAUAUUUGAAUUGAAAAAAAACAACAAUAUUGACGAUUUCAUCGGAACGGUGAUUGUUUGAUGAUUUGAUUUUCAUAGGAAUAAUACAUGAUUCUGAUUUUGUCAAAACUGUGUUGGGGUGGUGGAUUUGAUCUUUUUUGGCAGACAUCACUUUAGGAGGUCAGCUUGGCAUUGAUAUUUGGAUGGACGGCUUGGUAUUUGGGUGGUGGUCGGCUUGGUGUUGGGUGGUUGGCCUCAAAAUGAAUCACAAGUAUGAAAUAUAAUAUAUUGAGUAUUUGUGAUUUAUUUUGAAGCAAUAUUCUAUAUGUAUUUUUAUUCUGAAUUAUUGUAUUUAUAUUUGUAAUACAUAUGGUAGCAUUGUCAUGUAGAAUAUAGUUGUGUAUUUAUGAUUCAUAUUUGUGUUCAUUUGAAAUUCAUAUUUCAAUGCAAUGUAUGAAUAUUUGUGAUACAUUUGGCAGUCUUUCAUACAAAAUGUAG